Molecule: unclassified non-coding RNA, 390 nt
Filed under: Hevea brasiliensis (rubber tree)
Lineage: Eukaryota; Viridiplantae; Streptophyta; Magnoliopsida; Malpighiales; Euphorbiaceae
Source: RNAcentral
AAAGUUUGAAGAGAAACUCUAAACAGACAAGACCUGACUGAAGAAUACAAGCUAUAACAAAUAUAGCACAAAACGGGAUAUUAGACACAGUAACAUAAGUUGUUGAUGUAUUGGCAGGAAUCAAAGAUGUAAAUAAGAACUCAUGAAUUGGUCAUUACGGAAAGCAUUCAUCAGGCUCUGCACGUACUCUAUCACAGCAUUAUGGUGAUUUUACUAGCCCCCAUGUCCAUCUGGCUCUGACCCUUGGCCAUUGAGGAGGGUUAUGGAACCUGCUAUUGGAAGGUUUAGGUUCCUCGAGGUGCCUGGACAUUCUGUCGAGCAAGCAAAGAUGUCAUCUGCCCCAGCUCCCUGUUCCGUCCUCCUCUUCUUCUUUUGGGAUUUUAAAUAGUU